This 258-nucleotide ribosomal RNA is filed under the name uncultured bacterium. Its description in RNAcentral is "partial 16S ribosomal RNA". It matches the Rfam family "Bacterial small subunit ribosomal RNA", at positions 73 to 334 of the family's 1533-position model. The record is from RNAcentral.
UCAAACCAAAAGUUAGGCGACCGGCGCACGGGUGAGUAACACGUAUCCAACCUGCCUCAUACUCGGGGAUAGCCUUUCGAAAGAAAGAUUAAUAUCCGAUAGCAUAUAUUUCCCGCAUGGGUUUUAUAUUAAAGAAAUUCGGUAUGAGAUGGGGAUGCGUUCCAUUAGUUUGUUGGGGGGGUAACGGCCCACCUAGUCAACGAUGGAUAGGGGUUCUGAGAGGAAGGUCCCCCACAUUGGAACUGAGACACGGUCCAA